CAUGAAGCUGGAAUCGCUAGUAAUCGCAGAUCAGAAUGCUGCGGUGAAUACGUUCCCGGGUCUUGUACACACCGCCCGUCACACCAUGGGAGCCGGGAAUGCCCGAAGUCGGUGACCCAACCGUAAGGAGGGAGCCGCCGAAGGCAGGCCUGGUAACUGGGGUGAAGUCGUAACAAGGUAUC
This 182-nucleotide ribosomal RNA is filed under the name uncultured bacterium. RNAcentral describes it as "partial 16S ribosomal RNA". It matches the Rfam family "Bacterial small subunit ribosomal RNA", at positions 1319 to 1500 of the family's 1533-position model. The record is from RNAcentral.